This 326-nucleotide ribosomal RNA is filed under the name uncultured bacterium. RNAcentral's name for it is "bacterial SSU rRNA". It matches the Rfam family "Bacterial small subunit ribosomal RNA", at positions 28 to 361 of the family's 1533-position model. The record is from RNAcentral.
GACGAACGCUGGCGGCGUGCCUAACACAUGCAAGUCGAACGGGGGUAGCAAUACCUCAGUGGCGAACGGGUGCGUAACACGUGAAGAAUUUGUCUAACGGCGGGGGAUAGCCGGCCCAACGGCCGGGUAAUACCGCGUACGACCUCUGGAGGGCAUCCUCUGGUGGUGAAAGCCGCAAGGCGCCGAUAGAGAACUUCGCGGCCUAUCAGCUAGUUGGCGGGGUAAUGGCCCACCAAGGCGACGACGGGAGCUGGUCCGAGAGGAUGACCAGCCACAUUGGACUGAGACACGGCCCAGACUCCGUACGGGAGGCAGCAGGUGGGGAA